GAAUCCCGUCUUUGACACGGACUGCCAGUGCACCGUGGGUGUGCUCUCGAAGAGUCGAGUUGUUUGGGAAUGCAGCUCAAAAUGGGUGGUAAAUGCCAUCUAAAGCUAAAUAUUGGCGAGAGACCGAUAGCGAACAAGUACCGUGAGGGAAAGAUGAAAAGAACUUUGGAAAGAGAGUUAAACAGUACGUGAAAUUGCUGAAAGGGAAACGCUUGAAGUCAGUCGCGUUGGCCAGAAAUCAGUCUUGCUUUUGCUUGGUGUAUUUUCUGGUCUUUUAAACGGGUCAGCAUCAAUCUUGACCACUGGAUAAAGUCGGUGGGAAUGUGGCAUCUUUGGAUGUGUUAUAGCCUGCUGUCGCAUACGGUGGUUGGGAUUGAGGAACUCAGCACGCCCCCAAAUCUGGCCGGGUUUUGAACCACGUUCGUGCUUAGGAUGCUGGCAUAAUGGCUUUAAUCGACCCGUCUUGAAACACGGACCAAGGAGUCUAACAUGCCUGCGAGUGUUUGGGUGGAAAAACCCAGGCGCGCAAUGAAAGUGAAAGUUGAGAUCUCUGUCAAAGGAGAGCAUUGACGCCCAGACCAGACCUUCUGUGACGGAUCUGCGGUAGAGCAUGUGUGUUGGGACCCGAAAGAUGGUGAACUGUGCCUGAAUAGGGUGAAGCCAGAGGAAACUCUGGUGGAGGCUCGUAGCGAUUCUGACGUGCAAAUCGAUCGUCAAAUUUGGGUAUAGGGGCGAAAGACUAAUCGAACCAUCUAGUAGCUGGU
Molecule: ribosomal RNA, 764 nt
Filed under: uncultured Inocybe
Lineage: Eukaryota; Fungi; Basidiomycota; Agaricomycetes; Agaricales; Cortinariaceae
Description: partial 28S ribosomal RNA
Rfam family: Eukaryotic large subunit ribosomal RNA
Source: RNAcentral